UUCAUUAAUGACAUAAUCUCAAAAUAUAACUAAUUAGUUUAAUAAAAAAAAGUGAUAUAAAAAUAAAACUAUAAUCAUAUAUUGAGUAAUUAAUUUUUUAAAUUUUGAAAAUAAUAUAAAUAUAUUUGGUGUGGUUAACUAAUUUUAUCCUAACUCCAUGUAGGGGUUAGAAAUUACAGGCUUUUGAUUCUCAUAAUAUCCAUACUUAAAUUUCACCGUUAAGAAUUUCCUUACUUUUAAACUUGACACAUCCUUUUCUUUUUUUUCGUGGCAACAUUGAAGGAAAAAAAAAAGAAGAAAAUAGAGACAAUAAAAAAACAUCUUAGGGUCUAAGGUAAGCAAUCCCGCA
This 349-nucleotide long non-coding RNA is filed under the name Elaeis guineensis (African oil palm). RNAcentral describes it as "long non-coding RNA (EGUI_LNC022767)". Lineage: Eukaryota; Viridiplantae; Streptophyta; Magnoliopsida; Arecales; Arecaceae. The record is from RNAcentral.